UAUACAGAAAAAGUAGCACCUGAGAGGGAUCCAAAAUGGCCAAAUAGGAACAGCCCUGGAGUGCAGUCCCCAGCGAGAACAACACAGAGGGUGAGUGAUCACCAAAUU
This is a long non-coding RNA of Sapajus apella (tufted capuchin), 108 nucleotides long. RefSeq lists it as uncharacterized. The record is from RefSeq and is a predicted model, not a curated record. The transcript has 4 exons. Lineage: Eukaryota; Metazoa; Chordata; Mammalia; Primates; Cebidae.